RNAcentral lists this ribosomal RNA (498 nucleotides) under uncultured bacterium. RNAcentral describes it as "bacterial SSU rRNA". It matches the Rfam family "Bacterial small subunit ribosomal RNA", at positions 97 to 591 of the family's 1533-position model. The record is from RNAcentral.
GGCGGACGGGUGAGGAAUACAUCGGAAUCUACUUUUUCGUGGGGGAUAACGUAGGGAAACUUACGCUAAUACCGCAUACGACCUACGGGUGAAAGCAGGGGAUCUUCGGACCUUGCGCGAUUGAAUGAGCCGAUGUCGGAUUAGCUAGUUGGCGGGGUAAAGGCCCACCAAGGCGACGAUCCGUAGCUGGUCUGAGAGGAUGAUCAGCCACACUGGAACUGAGACACGGUCCAGACUCCUACGGGAGGCAGCAGUGGGGAAUAUUGGACAAUGGGCGCAAGCCUGAUCCAGCCAUACCGCGUGGGUGAAGAAGGCCUUCGGGUUGUAAAGCCCUUUUGUUGGGAAAGAAAUCCAGCUGGCUAAUACCCGGUUGGGAUGACGGUACCCAAAGAAUAAGCACCGGCUAACUUCGUGCCAGCAGCCGCGGUAAUACGAAGGGUGCAAGCGUUACUCGGAAUUACUGGGCGUAAAGCGUGCGUAGGUGGUCGUUUAAGUCCG